Molecule: non-coding RNA, 45 nt
Organism: Schistosoma curassoni
Lineage: Eukaryota; Metazoa; Platyhelminthes; Trematoda; Strigeidida; Schistosomatidae
Source: Rfam
AUUCAGCUGACGAGUCCCAAAUAGAAUGAAACACGCCUACUGGAU